RNAcentral lists this ribosomal RNA (253 nucleotides) under uncultured bacterium. RNAcentral's name for it is "partial 16S ribosomal RNA". It matches the Rfam family "Bacterial small subunit ribosomal RNA", at positions 524 to 776 of the family's 1533-position model. The record is from RNAcentral.
GACAGAGGUGCCGAGCGUUAGGCGGAAUCACUGGGCUUAAAGCGUGUGUGGGCGGAUCUGUAAGUACCUUGUGAAAUCCCACGGCUCAACCGUGGAACUGCUUGGUAUACUGCGGGUCUUGAGCCACCUAGGGGCAAGUGGAACAAACGGUGGAGCGGUGAAAUGCGUAGAUAUCGUUUGGAACGCCAAUGGUGAAAACAACUUGCUGGGGGUGUGCUGACGCUGAGACACGAAAGCCAGGGGAGCAAACGGG